AAAACAUACUGAGCUGAUACUUUUCUCCUUUGUUCUCCAUUUCUCUCUUUUAAUAUAUCCCCUCCUCCUUUCUUCCUCUCUAUUCCACUUCGUCUUUCUUGGUCACUGAAUUCUUUUUUUUUUUCCUUUCCAUGCCAUCAAAUCUAUUCUCUGGCUCUAACAUAGCUUAACUGAUAGCCUGUCUUUAUCUCAAAUUUUGAUAUUUUAUUAAUCGUGUUUUGAGGGUGUAUAAAU
This 234-nucleotide long non-coding RNA is filed under the name Homo sapiens (human). RNAcentral describes it as "non-protein coding lnc-SLCO5A1-9:1". Lineage: Eukaryota; Metazoa; Chordata; Mammalia; Primates; Hominidae. The record is from RNAcentral.